Molecule: non-coding RNA, 73 nt
Organism: Dipodomys ordii (Ord's kangaroo rat)
Lineage: Eukaryota; Metazoa; Chordata; Mammalia; Rodentia; Heteromyidae
Source: Rfam
UGGAAGGUGGCUCAGUGGUAGAGUGCUUGCCUUGCAUGCAUGAGGCCUUGAGUUCGAUUCCUCAGCAUCACAU